AUUUUGAUUUAUUUCCUUUCCUUCUUUCUUUCGAGAUCUUUGUUUUCUUUUUUCCCUCUCCCUCCCUUCCUUCUUCCUUCCUUCUUCCUUCCUUCCUUCCUUCCUUCCUUCCUUCCUUCCUUCCUUCCUUCCUUUUCUGUCACCCAGGCUGGAGUGCAGUGGUGCAAUCAUUGCUUACCGCAACCUUGUACUUCUGGGCUCAAGCCAUGCCAUACCAUAUCUGCCUUAUAUCUUUUAGACUAUAUCUGCCCCAUUCUUGGCCUCUGCAUUUUUUCAUUUCUUGAUUAGAUUGCAUCUUUAGUUAUAUUUAAAUAAAAAUAUUUUAAAUGUGUGGAUUAUAACGUAAUCAUCAAAACAAAAUCCAAAUAAUGUAGAAGUUUAGGCAAUGAAAAAUGAAAGAUCUUCACACUUCCACCCUCAGUGCAGAACCACAAUUAAAAACAAAAUUUCUUAGUUUCUUUUUUCUUUGAAAACACAUGAGAUGGGGAUGUCUAGAUUUUAGCCUACUUGGCAAUUUGUGACCAUAUUUAAUGUGAAAUUUGUACCUCUCUAAACUUGUAACUGUUCACUCCUGGAAAAUUCUACUUCGAUGAUUUCUUUUCCAUCUUUUCUUCUUUCUGGAACCCUUUCAGCUGGUUGUGGAAUCAUCUUCAGUCCUCAACUUACAUCAGGACUUUUGCCCUCCUGCAGAAAGUCUGCAAGGUGUCAGUCCAGACUGAAUCUAGUGAACAACAGAAGAGACACAUUGCUCAGCAGGUAGGUCCUGCCACCUCUUCUCCCAUACAAGGCUCACACUCUUCUCUAAACAAAUGUUGGACAAAUAGUUAAAUAGUACUGACUUGAAGUGACGGAAAAUGCAUGGCUUGACUAAGAUCGUCUACAUUUCUCUCUCACCCUCAAUCCAGGAAGACAGAUGUGUGCUUUUCAGCACAGAAGGAAACAGCAUGAAAACCAACAAGCAAGCAAGGAAACCAAUGAAUAUAAUAACAAAACUGAUUAUGUUGGGAACCUGAUGAAUACUUGAGGAGGAGGAGGACUUGAGAACUUUCUGGCACUGGAAGAUCUUCACAUGAAGGAACCAGGAGGCAGGGAAAGAACUACUCCAGGAACACUUAACAAUCUAGACUCGUCCACUGUUACAGUACGAAGGAACUAGAAAUUCUGGUGUUUGGAAACAUUUUCUUAGUAGACUUCUUCUUGCUUUGUUUUGUUCUUCAACAUGGUAUAGAAAGCCUGAUACUGAAACAGAAAACUGGGUACUUUUCCUGUCGGAGUGAGGGAGGAAGCAGGGGCUUGUGUCUGGAGGGUCCUCUUGGAUGACUGUCAGUGGUGCAAUUCCACAGGACCAAAGGUUUGAAAGAACGCAAACUGGGCUCAUUUUCAAAUGAGAGAAAAAGGCCUCAAGGUUCUUAUUAGAAAGAGUUGUUGAUCUAUUAAAUAAAAAUAAAACCAAAUAAAUCCAAUUCAAUGAAUUAAGAUUUUCAAGAGAUGUCAGAUGUGGCCCCUGUACUCAUGGACUUUUUCAUCUGGCAAGGAGGAAAGAUGUGUGUGAAAACAUACUAUGGGCCAGGUACGGUGGCUCAUGCCUGUAAUCCCAAUACUUUGGGAGGCCAAGGUGGGUGGAUCACCUGAGGUCGGGAGUUCGAGACCAGACUGGCCAACAUGGUGAAACCCCGUCUCUACUAAAAAUACGAAAAUUAGCUGGGCGUGGUGGCACAUGCCUGUAAUCCCAGUUACUUGGGAGCCUGAGGUAGGAGAAUUGCUUGAAACCAGAAGGCGGAGGUUGCAGUGAGCUGAGACUGCGCCACUGCAAUCCAGCCUGGGAAAAAGAGUGAGACUCCGUCUCAAAAAAAAAAAAAAAAAAAAAAAAGAAAGAAAGAAGGAAAACAUGCUGUGAGCUAUGCAGUGAAGAGAAGCAGAUCAUAGGCUCUGGGAGUUUACACUGGAGAAAGUUUUCAUUCAACCGUGGAGAUACUCAAGGCGAUCUUUAAACAAGGUCUGAUAUCAUGGGUAAUGUUGGGGUCUAUGCAGAGGUGGACAUCAGGUAGGAAAGGAUCAAGCAGAAGAACUGAGAAACGAAACGUAAAGUGUGUACAGACCGCAGUCGGCAAUUGGGAUUUAUAUUCUGCAUGAAUAAAUUCUUGGAAAGUGACAUUUAAGAUUUUAAAUGUGAGCUCAAAGAAUGUAACUUUUACUCUGUGGGUGAAGUACUAUUUUGAGAUGGGAAGUGACAGAAAAUCAGAGCUGAGAUUUAGGAAGAUUAGUCUGGCAGAGGUUUUCAGAAUGGCUGAUGGUAGGGACAGACUUCAAAAAAUUAAAUAGUGACAGAAUGGAAAGAAAAAGACAUGUGUGAGAUGAAUGACCACUGAGUUAUUGUUCCAACACGGUCAAUAUAAUGCAAGCACGACCCAAUGAGAUGGCACCUGUGAAAAAACUCCAUUAACUUUUAGUGCUAAUUAAAUGGCAGAGAAAGAAGUCAUUAAGGGAAAGGGUGCUAUGGCUCAAAAAUUCGGAAUUCUAAUCUCAACUUUGAGGCCCUGACUAGUGACUAUGUGUAACAAUUUCCUCAUAAAAUUAAGAGGUAAAACAGUGUCUUGGGAAGAAUCAAGUUAAUAACACAGGUUUAACCUGAGUUUCCCAGAGGUUACAAAGCUGGGUGCAAAGGCGGUCCAAGUAGCAUUACCACCAAACAAGCAAAGAAACAAAACCCAAAACCUCAAGUCUGAAUCUCUCUCACUGCAGGGCUCUAGGACCUCAACUCCUUCUGAAAUCUAUGCCUCUUACUUAUGGUACUUUCCAGAGAGGGCUACCAGAUUUAGCACACAUGUACAAAAGUUGCAAAAUGCUCAAGUA
Molecule: long non-coding RNA, 2853 nt
Organism: Macaca fascicularis (crab-eating macaque)
Lineage: Eukaryota; Metazoa; Chordata; Mammalia; Primates; Cercopithecidae
Source: Ensembl